Molecule: long non-coding RNA, 444 nt
Organism: Mesocricetus auratus (golden hamster)
Lineage: Eukaryota; Metazoa; Chordata; Mammalia; Rodentia; Cricetidae
Exons: 3
Source: RefSeq, a predicted model, not a curated record
AUUUACUACGUUCUAUUGUCUGGCACUGUUCUAGGUGCUAAGAAUGCACUGGAGAAGAAAUCUGAGCUACUGUUCUUAAAGAAUUUACAUCCUGGGAAAGGCUAUGGUCAGGCAAUCAGACUCCAUAUCAGGAGAUGGGAUAAGGUCGCGUAAGGACGAAGCAGUGGGGAACUUUGGUGAGAAGAAGCAAUACCGAAGAGUGAAGCAAGAGUUCCCACAGAAUCGCCACAAGAGACCAAGAUGCAAAGCAGGAGUUAGACAGCCAUCAAGACAAGAGUACUUUACCAGUUUUCACAGGACAUAGAGCCAUAGAGUGUUCUUGGGGGAACCGGGACUCCAGUCGCCAUUUGUGUCGUGUGGAAUUUGAAGCAUUUGGUGGACAGCGAGGUGGAGACGCAUAAGAAGCACUUGGGUACACAGAACGGAUGCUCGGGAAAGGUGAGA